RNAcentral lists this long non-coding RNA (883 nucleotides) under Equus caballus (horse). Its description in RNAcentral is "lncRNA (ENSECAG00000043091.2)". Lineage: Eukaryota; Metazoa; Chordata; Mammalia; Perissodactyla; Equidae. The record is from RNAcentral.
AUACAGUGUCAGAAUGACAGAGAUGAAUGUCACCUAAUUACUGUCCUGAAGGAGCUCAUGAUGGAAUCAAGGUAUAGAAACAUAGUCAGAUAUCUUCUCAAGGGAGCGCCAACAAGAUUUGCUGACAAAUUGAAUGUGAAGUAUGAGAGGAAGAGAGGAAGCAAGGAUGACUGCAAGAUUUAUUGGCCUUUAUAACUGGAAGGCUGAAGUUGACGUCAGCUAGCAUUGGGAAGGCUGCAAGCGGAGUAGCCCAGAGAGUGAAGGCAUGAGACUGGAAGAGAUCAACAAAGACGCAGAGUGAUUGGAGAUCAAAGGAGCCCCAGGAGUGACCCCAGGAGGUUCCAAUUUCAAGGUCAAGAGAUGAGAAGAAACAAUCAGUAAUCCAGGAGGAAAAUGAGAAAAUUUAAAAUUACAUAUGUGGUUCCCACUAUAUUUCUACUGGACAGCACUGAUCUAGAUAGAAUCCAAGAAUUGUCGUAUCACUUGCCAACUAAGGUCAGGCAGUUGCAGUGGUUGGUGUCAAAAGAGAAGGGGAUUCCAGAAGAAGGAUUUUGCUGGAGGUGGACUUUGCAACAUCACUCAAUGCCACUAUGGAGCUCAGGAGAGGACAGCCGCCAUGUUGUGAGCAGCCCUGUGGAGAGGCCCUAGUGGCAAGGACCCGAAGUGGAGUCUCCUUCUCCAGCUGCAGCCUGGCUGACAGUUUGACUACAACUUCCUAAAGAGACCCUGAGCCAGAACCACCAGAAUCAUUUUUUUUAACACUUUUUGGUGCUGAGGAAUGUGAUCUGAGGCUGACUGCUAACGGUCUACAGGACAAGAAGACACACAGCCACUGUUAUCAAGAUCUGGGUAUUAUUUGUGUUACAACUGCUGGAAGAGGAAA